Molecule: long non-coding RNA, 802 nt
Organism: Oncorhynchus gorbuscha (pink salmon)
Lineage: Eukaryota; Metazoa; Chordata; Actinopteri; Salmoniformes; Salmonidae
Exons: 3
Source: RefSeq, a predicted model, not a curated record
GCGUAUACACGGAUGGGGCUGCUGCCAUGACUGGACGGCUGUCUGGUUCCACUACCUGGGUUAAAGAGGUUGGUCAUUCUGUGUUGGCGUAUACACGGAUGGGGCUGCUGCCAUGACUGGACGGCUGUCUGGUUCCACUACCCGGGUUAAAGAGGUUGGUCAUUCUGUGUUGGCGUAUACACGGAUGGGGCUGCUGCCAUGACUGGACGGCUGUCUGGUUCCACUACCCGGGUUAAAGAGGUUGGUCAUUCUGUGUUGGCGUAUACACGGAUGGGGCUGCUGCCAUGACUGGACGGCUGUCUGGUUCCACUACCCGGGUUAAAGAGGUUGGUCAUUCUGUGUUGGCGUAUACACGGAUGGGGCUGCUGCCAUGACUGGACGGCUGUCUGGUUCCACUACCCGGGUUAAAGAGGUUGGUCAUUCUGUGUUGGCGUAUACACGGAUGGGGCUGCUGCCAUGACUGGACGGCUGUCUGGUUCCACUACCCGGGUUAAAGAGGUUGGUCAUUCUGUGUUGGCGUAUACACGGAUGGGGCUGCUGCCAUGACUGGACGGCUGUCUGGUUCCACUACCUGGGUUAAAGAGGUUGGUCAUUCUGUGUUGGCGUAUACACGGAUGGGGCUGCUGCCAUGACUGGACGGCUGUCUGGUUCCACUACCCGGGUUAAAGAGGUUGGUCAUUCUGUGUUGGCGUAUACACGGAUGGGGCUGCUGCCAUGACUGGACGGCUGUCUGGUUCCACUACCCGGGUUAAAGAGGUUGGUCAUUCUGUGUUGGCGUAUACACGGAUGGGGCUGCUGCCAU